GUAGGCAAGCAACCUAACUCCGGGCUUCAGGGCCUUUGUGUUUAUCAUAAUUGCCCUUUAAAAUAGCCUGAGGAAAGUCCGUCCACCAUUUUUGCCUUUUAAUAAAAAGGCAGCUGAUAGGGAUUAAGCAUCUAACCAUCUUAUUCCUUAUUUUCAGAAAUGGAAGUCAACCGCUCAGAAACGGCACGGCCUUUAAGAUAGGGAAUGAUAAUGGUGAAGCACUCUGCGAAGAGAUGCGAGUUAACCCUUUGACGUCCUUAAAGGAUGCGUUGAAACGGCGAGUACCAGCUGGUGCAAGUCUGUAAAGACGCUUAGUACAAUGUUAGGAUGAACCUUCCGCAAGGGGUUCAACAAAAGAUGGCUUAUUCUUGCCUAC
This 376-nucleotide RNase P RNA is filed under the name Candidatus Woesearchaeota archaeon CG10_big_fil_rev_8_21_14_0_10_33_12. RNAcentral describes it as "RNase P RNA component". It matches the Rfam family "Archaeal RNase P". From Rfam's summary of the family: Ribonuclease P (RNase P) is a ubiquitous endoribonuclease, found in archaea, bacteria and eukarya as well as chloroplasts and mitochondria. Its best characterised activity is the generation of mature 5'-ends of tRNAs by cleaving the 5'-leader elements of precursor-tRNAs. Lineage: Archaea; Nanobdellati; Candidatus Woesearchaeota. The record is from RNAcentral.